UACAGAGGGGGCAAGCGUUGUUCGGAAUUACUGGGCGUAAAGGGCGCGUAGGCGGCCUGUUAAGUCGAACGUGAAAUCCCCGGGCUCAACCCGGGAACUGCGUCCGAUACUGGCAGGCUUGAAUUCGGGAGAGGGAUGCGGAAUUCCAGGUGUAGCGGUGAAAUGCGUAGAUAUCUGGAGGAACACCGGUGGCGAAGGCGGCAUCCUGGACCAAUACUGACGCUGAGGAGCGAAAGCCAGGGGAGCAAACGGG
RNAcentral lists this ribosomal RNA (253 nucleotides) under uncultured bacterium. Its description in RNAcentral is "partial 16S ribosomal RNA". It matches the Rfam family "Bacterial small subunit ribosomal RNA", at positions 524 to 776 of the family's 1533-position model. The record is from RNAcentral.